Molecule: transfer RNA, 58 nt
Filed under: Escherichia coli
Lineage: Bacteria; Pseudomonadati; Pseudomonadota; Gammaproteobacteria; Enterobacterales; Enterobacteriaceae
Description: tRNA-Asp
Rfam family: tRNA
About the family: Transfer RNA (tRNA) molecules are approximately 80 nucleotides in length. Their secondary structure includes four short double-helical elements and three loops (D, anti-codon, and T loops).
Source: RNAcentral
UAGUGUAGCGGUUAACACGCCUGCCUGUCACGCAGGAGAUCGCGGGUUCGAUUCCCGU